This 720-nucleotide ribosomal RNA is filed under the name uncultured Nitrososphaerota archaeon. RNAcentral's name for it is "bacterial SSU rRNA". It matches the Rfam family "Archaeal small subunit ribosomal RNA", at positions 69 to 792 of the family's 1478-position model. Lineage: Archaea; Thermoproteati; Nitrososphaerota. The record is from RNAcentral.
UAGCAAUAUGUGGCAUACGGCUCAGUAACACGUAGUCAACAUGCCCAGGGGACGUGGAUAACCUCGGGAAACUGAGGAUAAACCGCGAUAAGUCACUACUUCUGGAAUGGGUAAUGACUUAAAUCUAUAUGGCCCCUGGAUUGGACUGCGGCCGAUCAGGCUGUUGGUGAGGUAAUGGCCCACCAAACCUGUAACCGGUACGGGCUCUGAGAGGAGGAGCCCGGAGAUGGGCACUGAGACAAGGGCCCAGGCCCUAUGGGGCGCAGCAGGCGCGAAACCUCUGCAAUAGGCGAAAGCCUGACAGGGUUACUCUGAGUGAUUUCCGUUAAGGAGAUCUUUUGGCACCUCUAAAAAUGGUGCAGAAUAAGGGGUGGGCAAGUCUGGUGUCAGCCGCCGCGGUAAUACCAGCACCCCGAGUGGUCGGGACGUUUAUUGGGCCUAAAGCAUCCGUAGCCGGUUCUGCAAGUCUUCCGUUAAAUCCACCUGCUUAACAGAUGGGCUGCGGAAGAUACUAUAGAGCUAGGAGGCGGGAGAGGCAAGCGGUACUCGAUGGGUAGGGGUAAAAUCCGUUGAUCCAUUGAAGACCACCAGUGGCGAAGGCGGCUUGCCAGAACGCGCUCGACGGUGAGGGAUGAAAGCUGGGGGAGCAAACCGGAUUAGAUACCCGGGUAGUCCCAGCUGUAAACGAUGCAGACUCGGUGAUGAAUUGGCUUCAUGCCA